This 253-nucleotide ribosomal RNA is filed under the name uncultured bacterium. Its description in RNAcentral is "partial 16S ribosomal RNA". It matches the Rfam family "Bacterial small subunit ribosomal RNA", at positions 524 to 776 of the family's 1533-position model. The record is from RNAcentral.
UACGGGGGGGGCAAGCGUUGUUCGGAAUUACUGGGCGUAAAGGGCUCGUAGGCGGCCAACUAAGUCGGAUGUGAAAUCCCCAGGCUCAACCUGGGAACUGCAUCCGAUACUGGAUGGCUUGAAUUCGGGAGAGGGAUGCAGAAUUCCAGGUGUAGCGGUGAAAUGCGUAGAUAUGCGGAGGAACACCGAUGGCGAAGGCAAUCCCCUGGACCUGUACUGACGCUCAUGCACGAAAGCGUGGGGAGCAAACAGG